UGCGAGCGUGGCGGAAUUGGCAGACGCGCCAGAUUUAGGUUCUGGUAUCUUCGGAUGUGGAGGUUCGACUCCUCUCGCUCGCAU
Molecule: transfer RNA, 84 nt
Filed under: Sedimentisphaera cyanobacteriorum
Lineage: Bacteria; Pseudomonadati; Planctomycetota; Phycisphaerae; Sedimentisphaerales; Sedimentisphaeraceae
Description: tRNA-Leu
Rfam family: tRNA
About the family: Transfer RNA (tRNA) molecules are approximately 80 nucleotides in length. Their secondary structure includes four short double-helical elements and three loops (D, anti-codon, and T loops). Further hydrogen bonds mediate the characteristic L-shaped molecular structure. tRNAs have two regions of fundamental functional importance: the anti-codon, which is responsible for specific mRNA codon recognition, and the 3' end, to which the tRNAs corresponding amino acid is attached (by aminoacyl-tRNA synthetases). tRNAs cope with the degeneracy of the genetic code in two manners: having more than one tRNA (with a specific anti-codon) for a particular amino acid; and 'wobble' base-pairing, i.e. permitting non-standard base-pairing at the 3rd anti-codon position.
Source: RNAcentral